This 274-nucleotide ribosomal RNA is filed under the name uncultured bacterium. RNAcentral's name for it is "partial 16S ribosomal RNA". It matches the Rfam family "Bacterial small subunit ribosomal RNA", at positions 523 to 796 of the family's 1533-position model. The record is from RNAcentral.
AUACGGAGGGUGCAAGCGUUAAUCGGAAUUACUGGGCGUAAAGCGUACGUAGGCGGUUCGUUAAGUUAGAUGUGAAAGCCCCGGGCUUAACCUGGGAACUGCAUUUAAAACUGGCGGACUAGGGUUGAGUAGAGGGGAGUGGAAUUUCAGGUGUAGCGGUGAAAUGCGUAGAGAUCUGAAGGAACACCAGUGGCGAAGGCGACUCCCUGGACUCGAACUGACGCUGAGGUACGAAAGCGUGGGUAGCAAACGGGAUUAGAAACCCCAGUAGUCC